UACGGAGGGUGCAAGCGUUAUCCGGAUUCACUGGGUUUAAAGGGUGCGUAGGAGGGUAGGUAAGUCAGUGGUGAAAUCUUCGAGCUUAACUCGGGAACUGCCGUUGAUACUAUCUAUCUUGAAUACCGUGGAGGUGAGCGGAAUAUGUCAUGUAGCGGUGAAAUGCUUAGAUAUGACAUAGAACACCAAUUGCGAAGGCAGCUCGCUACACGAAUAUUGACUCUGAGGCACGAAAGCGUGGGGAGCAAACAGG
This 253-nucleotide ribosomal RNA is filed under the name uncultured bacterium. Its description in RNAcentral is "partial 16S ribosomal RNA". It matches the Rfam family "Bacterial small subunit ribosomal RNA", at positions 524 to 776 of the family's 1533-position model. The record is from RNAcentral.